This 928-nucleotide ribosomal RNA is filed under the name Enterococcus sp. C108. RNAcentral's name for it is "bacterial SSU rRNA". It matches the Rfam family "Bacterial small subunit ribosomal RNA", at positions 72 to 980 of the family's 1533-position model. Lineage: Bacteria; Bacillati; Bacillota; Bacilli; Lactobacillales; Enterococcaceae. The record is from RNAcentral.
ACCGGAGCUUGCUCCACCGGAAAAAGAGGAGUGGCGAACGGGUGAGUAACACGUGGGUAACCUGCCCAUCAGAAGGGGAUAACACUUGGAAACAGGUGCUAAUACCGUAUAACAAUCAAAACCGCAUGGUUUUGAUUUGAAAGGCGCUUUCGGGUGUCGCUGAUGGAUGGACCCGCGGUGCAUUAGCUAGUUGGUGAGGUAACGGCUCACCAAGGCCACGAUGCAUAGCCGACCUGAGAGGGUGAUCGGCCACAUUGGGACUGAGACACGGCCCAAACUCCUACGGGAGGCAGCAGUAGGGAAUCUUCGGCAAUGGACGAAAGUCUGACCGAGCAACGCCGCGUGAGUGAAGAAGGUUUUCGGAUCGUAAAACUCUGUUGUUAGAGAAGAACAAGGAUGAGAGUAACUGUUCAUCCCUUGACGGUAUCUAACCAGAAAGCCACGGCUAACUACGUGCCAGCAGCCGCGGUAAUACGUAGGUGGCAAGCGUUGUCCGGAUUUAUUGGGCGUAAAGCGAGCGCAGGCGGUUUCUUAAGUCUGAUGUGAAAGCCCCCGGCUCAACCGGGGAGGGUCAUUGGAAACUGGGAGACUUGAGUGCAGAAGAGGAGAGUGGAAUUCCAUGUGUAGCGGUGAAAUGCGUAGAUAUAUGGAGGAACACCAGUGGCGAAGGCGGCUCUCUGGUCUGUAACUGACGCUGAGGCUCGAAAGCGUGGGGAGCAAACAGGAUUAGAUACCCUGGUAGUCCACGCCGUAAACGAUGAGUGCUAAGUGUUGGAGGGUUUCCGCCCUUCAGUGCUGCAGCUAACGCAUUAAGCACUCCGCCUGGGGAGUACGACCGCGGUUGAAACUCAAAGGAAUUGACGGGGGCCCGCACAAGCGGUGGAGCAUGUGGUUUAAUUCGAAGCAACGCGAAGAACCUUACCAGGUC